CUGAUCACAGUAAGGAGGAGUCCAUGCAAACUCCUGUGUUCUCCUCCUCUACUUAACUGACUCCACAGAGGAGGACAGAGAUCAGUGGUCACACUGUUGAACAUGAUGGAGUACAGGACAGGACUGCUGCUGUUAGCUGUCUGCUGGGCAGGUGUUGAUGGUCAGAGUCUGACACAGUCUGAAGCAGUGGUUAAAAGACCUGGAGAUUCACACAGACUGACCUGUACAGGCUCUGGAUACACAUUCAGCGACUAUGGCAUGCACUGGGUCAGACAGGCUCCAGGAAAAGGACUGGAGUGGAUUGCUUUCAUUCACACAGGCAGUAGCCACAUUUACUACUCUGACUCAGUCAGAGGUCGGUUCACCAUCUCCAGAGACGACAGACAACAACAGCUGUAUAUGCAGCAGUCUGAAGACUGAAGAUUCUGCAGUUUAUUAUUGUGCUCGAGACCGCAGCUGGGUGGAAUGAUGCUAUGGACGUCUG
Molecule: non-coding RNA, 484 nt
Organism: Cynoglossus semilaevis (tongue sole)
Lineage: Eukaryota; Metazoa; Chordata; Actinopteri; Pleuronectiformes; Cynoglossidae
Source: the annotation of a RefSeq genome assembly